CCUGUGUCUCCUGCUUGGCAGUCAGAGUCUUUACCACGGAGCCAUCAGGGAAGCCCUGUCUUUGCCUAUAUCAAAUCUAAUUUAAGAUGAUUCAUUAUAGCUAUAAGAGAGGGUGUUGGGAUAUUCUCAUGGGCUUGGAUUUGAGUGUGUUAGUACAGGCUUCCUUUUAACAAAGGGGGUAAGUUCUUUGAAUAGAGAGAGUUAUAAGAGUUGGACUGGAAGUACUUGAGUGCCUACUUUCUCCCAGAGAACUCUGCACCUUCCAAGACAAAGCCUAAGGGCUCUCCUGUUCCUUGGCAAGAGAUGGGACUCAGCUUUUCCUUGUAUGUGUAAAAGGACUGAGCCAGGAUUAAAAGCCAGGGGUGGAAAGCCCCUCCUAUUUCUCUGGAUGCUCCUUUUCAAAUUUCUCCUGACUUUCCAUAAAAGUUAGUUGUUCUGCAGGCUUCUUUCCUAGCCCUGAUUCUCUUCUUAUGUUAUAUCCGUGUGUCCAAAGUCAUGUCCAGUUAUUUGGGGAACUCCAGGCUACACACAGUAAAAUACAUUCUUUUGGCCAGGAUCUCAUCUCAAAUAAUGAUUUGGAUAAUGUUCUUCAAAAAUCUCCAAGAAGGAGGUAUAGAAUGCAGCCUGUCACUAAACUUACCUCCUCCACACCCUCCUCCAAACCUGUUCCUCUUGCGAGAUUCUCUCUCUUGAAGAACAGCAUCAUCACACAUGUUUCCCAGACUACAAGCUUGGAAUUCACCCUUGAUUAUUCUGCUUCCCUUAAGCCCAGAAUGUCCUCUGGAUAAAAUUAAGAUGAUUUCUUGAUGUGGUAUCUAAUUAUUUGACAAACAUUUACAGAGCACAUUUUAUAAAAUGUCUGGCUUCGGAAGCUUAUACUCUAAUGUAAGGAAAGGACAGGAUCUACACAGAUGAAAAGCUCAAUACCAAUCUGACAUGUGUCACCAGAUAAAGAAUAUGUAUUACAGAUAACGUAGUGCUGCAAGCUCAGUGGUAAACAUCUCUGUCGGCUGAAGAGGUCAAACAAGGAGUUCAGGGAAGUACUAUUCUGUUGCUUAGAAACAGCUUUGGAGAUGGGAGAUAAUUCUAUAUGGCUGUCCAAAGAACAUUCAGACUGGAAGAUACAUAAGCAAUCAUUUGCUGAUAUUCUCAUUUUACAUCAAGGAAAUGGGACUCAGUGACACCAAAUGAUGGGUGAUAAGCUGCAUUCAUUCAGUGUGUGUUGAGCACCCACUGCAUGCAAACACAUAGCAUGUGCUACACUUCCUCAGAAGAGUAGGGCAAGGUGGGGCUGAUUGUCCAAGGGCACCUGGACCUAGUAGGCACUAAAGCUGUGUCAGAGCAUCCCCAGGGGCAGGGCUGUGACGGCCAAGCUGUAAGCUGGGUUACUGGUCCUCCCACUAACCCUUGAAAAGAAAAGAAUUAAAAUAGUUAAUCACGGGCUAGUCAUUACUGCUUUGUGAGCAGUCGGGGUGAAGGAAUUUAGCACCACCUACAGGGUCCUGUUGUCUCAUUGGAUAUCCAGGUAGGAGAUUCUGAAGCUAUCUUUACCCUAUGACGCAGCUGAAUUCUUGGGAAGUGGAAACACUGCGGCUGAUUUCAGGACAAGACACACUGGAAGGGGAGGAGAGAGUCAUCAUCGAGGAUUUUUUUUUUCCUUUUACUUGAGUUAUUCUUUAAAUGCCCCUCAAACAAGUUCAGAGUUAGAGCGCUUUCCUGGUCCACAUUCCAGUUAUAGGGAAAACAGACAUGGGGCUUUGACUCCAGAGGAAGUCUUACAGGAAAAGCUAACUGAUCAGGCAAGAAUAUGUAAAAAUAUCUUCUUGAAAAUGAAGGCACAUGCAUAGAGAAAUUAUUGAAGACAGGAAAUAAGUCACAGCUGUAGAAAAAAUAAACAGGAACUGACUUUUCAGUCCCAAGAGACUAAAGGUUUCCAAUGCUGGGCUUUCUGGAUGCCUAAUAUUAGUUUGACAUCAUCUGUGCCUGAGUUUGUGUGUGUCUCCAUUUGUCUCCAAAGACAAUCCUGAAAGUAGCCUCAUUUCCUUAGCUCCCCUGUUCAUGCCCCAAGUGUGUGCUCUCAGCACAUCUUGAAAUUAGUAUAUUUUUUCAUCUUUGCCUUUAGUUUUUUAACAAGCAAGGAGAGGCCCAAGGGGACCCAGACGGGAGCGCUCGCUGACUUGUGCAGAGUCCAGUCGGGUAGCCUGAGGCAGGUCUUCAUUAUCCUCACCCGGCCUGUCCGUGUGUGGAACAACCCGCCCCUAGAGAGGAGUUUUAAAAUAAUCAUAUGUAGUGUGAAAUGAGAUCAUAGAUACAAGAACUCCUCUUUUGAAGGUAAAAUUUUUCACCCAUAAAUGCACAGUAUUGAUCUUAUUUAUUAAUGAAUGUAUUUGAUAGUAUCUUUGUCUGGUUCCUAGCCAUAUCCAAAUGAAUUAAUUUAAAAAGAUGAUUAUGAGCAUUAUGGCUUACAGACUAACAUUGAAAUUUAAUUACUAAUAAAUGCUAGUAUAUAAACAAGUAUACACACAGAGGAGGCUGUGCCGAAACUCUCUUCUACUUCCUUCUACUGAAAGGAAUUAAAAAUUGAUGUCAUCAGGGGAUUCCCUCCCCUCCUUACUGUGUGUGAGACAAAGGAACAUAAGAAGGUGGGGGUGGGGGUACUCUUCCCUCUCCAACCUGCCGAGAAUCAAAGAGGGUAGGAACUCACAAAGGAGCCCACCCAACCCAGCAGUCACAAAUGACUUAGCAAACAUCCGUUCACUAAUCCAGUCAUGAGUGCCAGUAGUAUUGGGAGGUGACCCACUGAACAAUUUUUAAGCAGAAAGGCUAUAGUGUUUAACAUGCAACCUUAUAGUCUUGCACCAUAGGAAUUAGGAAUCCUCGGGUUUGACAUUGCUUUGUCCAGUGUGGAACAAAAUGGCACGCACACAGGCUGUAUGUAUCCCCAGCACCUACCAUAACACCUGGCACAAAGCAGGUGCUCGUAAGUAUGUGAAUGAGUAAUUACAUCAUUGCAAAACUUGUAUCUAUAUGUAUUGCACACAAUUACAAUCUUUUCAUCUCAUGCAUUCUCUGUAACCCCCUCGGGCAUCCUCUGAUUCACAUGUAUAAAAUUCUGAACUGCAUGAUGAUAGAAAGGAAGAAUCCAGGGCUGGAAGCUCUACUGUGAAAGCCAUUACAGGGUCCACUGCUUGUUCUCACCUUCCCCACCCAGAGCCAAAAUCCUGGCUCUGGGUAGUCAUCAUGCCCUACUCUACCUUUGACCCAUCUGAGGAAUUGACAGGUAUUCCUUCUCUUGUGAGACCCCACUCAACAUUCAUCAAAUACCAGCUGUACAUAUUACACCCUGCUAGGUACUGUGGGGGAGAGUGUAAAUAUAAGAUAAGGCCUAUGAUCUCAAAACUAACAUUAUAGUUAGGGAGACUCUGCAUCAUUCUUCAUUUAUUCCACAGACAUUUGAACAUAUGUUCUUUUUUUUUUAAUUGGAGUAUAAUCACUUUACAAUGUUGUAUUAGUUUCUGCUGUACAACAAAGUGGAUCAAUCAUAUGUAUAUAUGUAUAUCCCCUCCCUUUUGGACCUCAUUCUUACCACCCCACCCCCAAUCCCAUAUAUCUAGGUCAUUAUAGAGCACUGAGCUGAGCUCCUUGUGCUACACCACAGGUCCCCAUUAGGUAUCUGCUUUAUACAUGGUAGUGUAUUUAUGUCAAAUCUAAUCUCUCAUUUCAUCCCACCCUCCCCUUCCCCGACCUGUGUCUAUGCAUCCAUUCUCCACAUCUGUGUCUCUAUUCUUGCCCUGGAACUAGGUUCAUCUGUACUAUUUCUCUAGAUAUGUUCUUAGUGCUGUUGAAAGUGCCUGGGAUUCAGUGUUGAGAAGACAAAUAUCUUCCCUUCUCCCAUGAUGCUGACAUUCUAGAGGGGGAAGACAAAAAAAAAUCCCAAUCAUACAAACAGAUAAAUACAUGAUAAAAAUUCAGAUUAAGUGCUAUCAAAUUGAAAUUGGGUCACAGAGAAACUAUUUUAACUGAGAUCUUAAUGACAAGACUUGUGAGAAGACUGCUAACCAGAAGGAAGCACGGGGAUGAUGGGGAGAGAAAGGAGGCAAGGUAGGGUCAGCAGGGGCCGGCUCAUGCAGUUCUGUGUCCCUUGCUACUCAAAAUGCACUCCAUGUGGACCAGUAGCAUCAGCAUCACCAGGGAGUCUACUUAAAAUGACCCCCAAUCUCAAUUUCCCUUCUUAUACAAUCAAGGACUAUCACAUUUCAGAUGGUACACAUCUGCCUCCAAUAAAGAUCACGUCUCCAAAUCUCCCUUGCAGAUAGUUGUGGCUAUCUGACAUAAAGGGAGUGAUCAAUGUGACUUCUGGAAGUGUCCCUAAAGGACUUGCUUUUCCUGCUGUCUGGAAUACAAAUUCAAAGGCUCCUUCUCCAGCAGCUAUUUUGGACCAUGAGAUGCCUUUGAGGAUGGAAGCUACUCAAGGCCAAAUAGCAACAGAGAGCCUGCAUCCCUGCCCUGCAGAAGGUCUUACCAGCUCUGAGCUGACUACGUAUCAAACUUCUGAAUGUAAGAAAAAAAGAAACAUCCAUUUUCUUUAAGCAACUGACACUUUGGAUUUUUCUGCUACUUCCAGCUGAAUUCAGUCCUAACUAAUUCAGACUCUGUAUCAUUAUUUCUCUUAUAGAACUAUAACAUUUCCCCAACCUCUAAAUAAAAAUCAAUAAUCCAAGGAGAUACUACUGUAUUCAUCCUGUGGCUUAAAAAAACUUGUGCUAAGCCUGACCCACCCCUGCUGCUCUAUGGUCACACAUACAGCAAUACAAGCAGCAUGCUCCCAGCUGGCAGGGAGGGUGGAAACAGCAGAGGUCAGUGACAAAGGCAAGGGCACAAGGCUAAAGGUCAGUUUGAGCUCUAGAUCCUCCUCUGCUUCCCUCCUGAGGGCACUUAGGGAAAUGGACCCCUCCAGGCUGAGCUGCUAAGUCUCAAGUCUUGGUGGCAUUGCCCCCCCACCCCCCCCAAAAUGUCUAAAAUUGUCAAACAAUCAACAGAUCGCUUACUCUGUUGAAGACUUCAACCUAGACUGAUUAAACACUUCACACCAGGUCUCUAUACGUAGAAAGAGCCUUUUCUUUGAAAAAUUGGAGGACUGGCCAACUGGUUCUUUUCAAUGCAGUUCAGUAGGCAGCUCCAUCAACAGCCCCCAGAGCCACCUCUGAUAAAGACACAGUUGAAACAGUGUGCUUAAGUGCACAUGCAACCUUGGGACAUUUCCUCCGGCACCCACAUUCAGUCAGAUAAUGACCUCAGAGCUCCUUCCUUGUAGAGAUUCUGGAGCCCCUGCUGCCUGGUUCUCAGCUGCCUUUGCAGACAUUGCUUGGCACCAUGGCUCUUAGAGUUCAAUAUCUCCAUAUGUGCCAUACAGGGUAGACUUUGGUCAGAGUAAUUUAAAAGGCUCAGAAACAGCAAACUUGUAUCUCAGUUUGUAUCCCAUAGUUUCAGCCUUCCCCUCUGGGGCAGUAAAGCUGAUCUUGACCUUCGUUCACAGGAUCAGUGACAGGCAGAAUUACAAAACAUGAUGAACAUUCCAUCAAGAGCUCUUUUUUUCAGUAAUCCUGGCUGCCCAUUCAGACCACACCCCUCACAACUUUCCUUUGGGAGUAGACAUGGGGUUGGGUCUAAGAGAAUCUGCCCCAGUGGGUUCUAUGUGGGCACUGAAUUUGACCAAACUUGUUUGAUUGUUUUGAAGGAAGUAAAACCUGAGCGCUCUCCCUCAGAGUUAUUUCUGGACUGAACAGUGAACAAUCAAUACGAUCCAUAAAUAAGCACUCAGGAACCACAGGAGGCUGCUUCAGCAGGUGACUUUGAGAAGUGACACCAAGGCUACCACUGCAGUAUAGGAAGGCUCUGGAAGGAGUAUUGGGAGCAAAUAGCCAUCCCCUCCAUGCACGCUGAGGAGGAGACUAUUGCAACCUUUCUGCAUAAGGGAGCAGCCUCUUAAUCUAUUCAGGAUGGAAGGCAUUUUCCAAAUUCCACCCAUGACAACGUGAUAUUCUUGACCUAGUUUCUAUGGAGCAAGAAGCCAUUAAGAUAAACUACAUAGAUAAGCCAGAAACAGGAAGAAUUGGUGCUUAAUACACACCCACAAAAGCAGCCUAGUCCACAUCAAAAUGGGGAUCCAAUCUCCCCACUGAAGAUAAAGGUACCAGCUGAGCACAGGGAGGUUACACUUUGUUGUGUGUUUUGUUUGAGCCUUGUAUCAGAAGUUAUCUCACAUCAGAGACUUGAUGCAAACCUUAAAUCAUGCUGAAUAUAAGAUUUCUGUUGAAGGCUGUAAAAUAAAUCUAAUGCACAUCAAUGAAUAAGUCAUGUAGUUUUUCUGGAAGGGGUAUCAUUAGUAGGACUAACAUUCAUAGAAUCAUAACCAUUCCCUCUAAGGAUUAAAUUUAUCACUUCAUCAAAGGCACAAUGAAUUGAAAGAGAGAGAGAGAGAAACACUAUAUAAUGAAGUCUUCCAAAACUAAAGACUUGUUGAAAAUUCACCUGGGUUGCACAGCUCUCACUCACAAGCGUUAAUUCUGUACUGUUUAUUUCAUGGGAGCAAAACAAACUGGUGGAGGGUUUCCACCAUUUAUUUAAAGAGUAGAAAAUUGUGUUGUGAUGUUUAGAUAAGACACGUGGGGGCAGCAGUGAGCUUCUGGGGAGGCUUAACAAUGGUGAUACUUCUGAACCAGAAAGUUUGACUCUAGACAUUGAUGCUGGCCAAGCUCUGUUUUAAAUCAUUUAAACCAAACAGAAACACUUUUUUUUUAAACUUUAAAUAUUAGAAAAAUUUACUCUUCCUGGUGUAUAUUUUCUGCUCCCCACGAGUGCUUAAUGUCCUUCUCAAACAUUUUAGUGACCAUUUAGGAAUUUGAUGAUCUUUUAAAGCUGAGAAACUUCCUCCUGACCAGUCCAAGUUGAAGGGUGCUGAACACGAUAUCCCAAUGCCAGGGGAAGGAAAGCAAGCUCUGGGUGGUGUGGAAGCUCAGGAGGCCCGCCUGUGUAGAGGGCCCACCAUGCCCGGUGCUGACAACAUCACAGAGCAAGCCGGUGGCGAGGGCUCCUUUUUAAAGAGGGGGAUGCGGUGGCACACCCUCUUCCUCGCCAAAGACGGCUCAUCUCAUCCCCGCCUGUCUGAAAACUGAAGACCACAGACCAGUACCGGUGCCUGGUUCGCUUUCAUGGCUGGAAGAUGUAAAUAAAGGUACUACAGCCAGUCCAUCUUCACAUCCCAGAACGGGGUGGCCGUGAGACAGACCUGGAAGCAAAGUUGCAGAUUGCAGGGGUGUUUACUGAGGGCAGGCUGGUCCUCCAAAGCGGGUGCUGGGGAGGCAGAGAGGGAGGAGAGAAGUCUGGGCUCUUCCCCACGGUGGCCCCAGAACAGCCUGGCAAGGAGCCACCAGGUCAGCCCCUCUCGCUGCACCCGACAGGAGGCCUUUGUCGGGCUGUCAGGCCGGGUUUUACUUUUAGGCUCAGCCAGGCUGCCCUCCCACUCCCGGCUUCCCCCUUACACAGCUGUUGCUUCAGCUUUCCAAAGCCCAAGCCAACAGCUGUUGUGUUUCCCGUUGCCUUUGUUUGGCAGGGCCAAGUUGGAAGCGUGAUGGUGGCUUUAAAGAGAGGGGGUGGGGAAGGUUGCAGGGACCAAGAUUCCUGCUCCCAGCAGGCCCUGCACCAGCCAGCCCUCCGUCCUCCCCUCUUGGACCUCCAAUCCACGCGUUUCUCAAUCAAGUGAUCUCAGGCCCAGAAACUCGAUGCUAUCAGGCCCAAGAAUUGGCCAGGAAAGAGCUGGACGCAGACAGGACCACUCAGAAAAGUACCUCCAAAUCCUUGCUGAACAGCCACCCUAUGCCUGGUUCUGACCAGUUCCUGGGUUAGAAGGGAAGAAGCCACAGUCCUUUCAGGGAGGUCGAGGCAUUCUCCAGCAGGACGCAGCCAAGUGCUGGUUUUAGCUCAAUAAUAGAAGAUAUGACUUCCGGGGUUUCAAAACCUAAGGUUCAACUUUUCACCUUGUGCUUUUCUUCCUGGAGCAACAACUUGCUCAGCAUAUCUCUCCCUAAAUUCCAAGACAGGCUGCUUGCUCUGCUCAGUCAAGACUGCCAACCCAAGAAACAUUUUUGAAAGAUCACAGCCAACAUCACUGCCAAGAGAAGAGGUUCUUGGCACACAAAGAACCUGGUUCAAUAUGAGAUGCCAGAUGGUGAUUUCAACUUCAGCUAAAUUCCUGCUGAAAAAAAGUGUUCGAACUGCAGAUGAGAAAAGCUUCUAUGACAAAUUUAUAAGUGCUAGAAGCUUCAGAGGGAAAUGGCAAGUGUUGAUAUAGCCCCCUCCCAACCACAUGCACACACACCAUAGAACUACUACCUGCAUCUGGUAACUAAGAUUCCUACAAAGAUGACUUUGCUUAAGAAGACUAUCAGCCCUGAUAUGAUUUUUAUUUACUAAUAUUAAACUAUAUUAAUCAAAUCC
Long non-coding RNA from Bubalus bubalis (water buffalo), 8496 nucleotides. RefSeq lists it as uncharacterized. Lineage: Eukaryota; Metazoa; Chordata; Mammalia; Artiodactyla; Bovidae. The transcript has 4 exons. The record is from RefSeq and is a predicted model, not a curated record.